AGUCACUGACAUUAGAUACCCCCGUAGUCCAGGGUGUAAACGCUGCAGACUUGGUGUUGGAAGUCCUUUGGGGGCAUUCAGUGCCGGAGAGAAGUUGUUAAGUCUGCUACUUGGGAGUACGUCCGCAAGGAUGAAACUUAAAGGAAUUGGCGGGGGAGCACCGCAACGGGAGGAGCGUGCGGUUUAAUUGGAUUCAACACCGUAAAACUCACCAGGGAAGACUGUUACAUGAAAGCCGAGAUGAAGACUCUGCUAGAUUUUCAG
This 264-nucleotide ribosomal RNA is filed under the name uncultured archaeon. Its description in RNAcentral is "partial 16S ribosomal RNA". It matches the Rfam family "Archaeal small subunit ribosomal RNA", at positions 718 to 982 of the family's 1478-position model. The record is from RNAcentral.